AACGAACGCUGGCGGCAUGCCUAACACAUGCAAGUCGAACGGCAGCACGGGAGCAAUCCUGGUGGCGAGUGGCGAACGGGUGAGUAAUAUAUCGGAACGUGCCCAGUCGUGGGGGAUAACGUAGCGAAAGCUACGCUAAUACCGCAUACGAUCUACGGAUGAAAGCGGGGGAUCGCAAGACCUCGCGCGAUUGGAGCGGCCGAUAUCAGAUUAGGUAGUUGGUGAGGUAAAGGCUCACCAAGCCGACGAUCUGUAGCUGGUCUGAGAGGACGACCAGCCACACUGGGACUGAGACACGGCCCAGACUCCUACGGGAGGCAGCAGUGGGGAAUUUUGGACAAUGGGCGCAAGCCUGAUCCAGCAAUGCCGCGUGCAGGAUGAAGGCCUUCGGUUGGUAAACUAGUCGUUUGUUGUCGGAACGAAACCGGUAGG
Molecule: ribosomal RNA, 432 nt
Filed under: uncultured bacterium
Lineage: Bacteria
Description: bacterial SSU rRNA
Rfam family: Bacterial small subunit ribosomal RNA
Source: RNAcentral